GAUGAACGCUAGCGGCAGGCUUAACACAUGCAAGUCGAGGGGCAGCGCGUCGUAGCAAUACGAUGGCGGCGACCGGCGGAAGGGUGCGUAACGCGUGAGCAACUUGCCCGUCACAGGGGAAUAACCGGUGGAAACGCCGACUAACACCCCGUAACACAUUUCGCCGCAUGGCGAGAUGUUGAAAACUCCGGUGGUGACGGAUAGGCUCGCGUGCCAUUAGCUAGUCGGCGGGGCAACGGCCCACCGAGGCGACGAUGGCUAGGGGUUCUGAGAGGAAGGCCCCCCACACUGGGACUGAGACACGGCCCAGACUCCUACGGGAGGCAGCAGUGAGGAAUAUUGGACAAUGGAGGCAACUCUGAUCCAGCCAUGCCGCGUGAAGGACUAAGGCCCUAUGGGCUGUAAACUUCUUUAGACGCAGAGCAAUAAGGGCCACGUGUGGUCCGAUGAGAGUAUGCGUAGAAUAAGCAUCGGCUAACUCCGUGCCAGCA
Molecule: ribosomal RNA, 491 nt
Filed under: uncultured bacterium
Lineage: Bacteria
Description: bacterial SSU rRNA
Rfam family: Bacterial small subunit ribosomal RNA
Source: RNAcentral